This is a long non-coding RNA of Cavia porcellus (domestic guinea pig), 6879 nucleotides long. RefSeq lists it as uncharacterized. The transcript has 4 exons. Lineage: Eukaryota; Metazoa; Chordata; Mammalia; Rodentia; Caviidae. The record is from RefSeq and is a predicted model, not a curated record.
ACAGUGAACCAAUCACAACCGCUGGAUUCAGCCACAUCCAUUACUGUUUGCAGCUUUGGAGGGGCACCCAGACACAACAACACCGCUAUGUUAGACUUAUGUUUUGGUAGAAACAUUAUACAUUUUUAACUUUAGUUGGAGGAGGAGAUCUGAGUGUCCAAAGCAGGGAGGAAGAAGAUAACAGCCUGUGAACUUGUCUCCCUUCAGAGUUACCCCUCUCGCCCUCCCUUUGUAAUGUGGUUUAGUCCAGAGACCUUAGGAGCCCUGGUGGUAGGAAAAAUGAACCAAGGCAUCACUGUUUCUGCCAUCCUGGGCAAUAACCCAUAGGGAUCCUCUUGCUUUUUGCAUCACUUACUUUCUAGGCAUGAAUGUGUUCCCAAUCUGUCAUUCCGUGCUUUCUUCAUUCAUUCAACAAGUCAUUUAUUGAACACUUGAGUGCUAGCCGCCGUGCUGGGCACUGCAUAUAACACUGAAUCAAAGCUCCUGCUCUCAUGUAGUUUACCUCUGGUGGAGAAGACAGGUGAUAAACAAGUAAACACAUAAAUAGUGCAAUCCAAUUUAGUGACUCUGUGCUACGAAGAAAAUAACCUGGGAUGGCCACACAGAAGGAUGGGGGUGGAAGUGGAGCAGCAUUAGCUAGGGUCAGGGACAGCCAGAGCAAGGGGCUCUGGGUGGGGCCCUGAAGAUACUGGACCUCUGCAAGGUGCUCCUUGUUCAGUGCACAAGAACUAAUCCUAGCAUUAAAGUUUAUGCACUAGCCAGACGUGGUGGUACAAUACACACCUCUAAUCCCAGCACUUGGGAUACCGAGGCAGGAGGAUCCUUGUGAGUUUGACACCAGCCUGGGCUACAAAGUGAGCUCAAAGGCAGCCAGGAUUGCAUAGCAACAUCCUGUCUCAAAAGAAAGAAACACACAGAAAAACAAACAAAUAAAAAGCAAAAAAAAAAAAAAAAAAAAAAAAAAAAAGUCGGGGAGAUCCUGGGUUGUGCAGAGUUGGGGCUCCUAGAGGCCUGUAGUUUUGCUUUGUUGUCUGUUAUUUCUAGAUAGAUAUAAUAAACUCAUGUGAAGAAACUCAUGGACUGCUUAAAGGACAAUUGUCCCCAAUGACAGGCUGAUGAUUUAGCACCUGCCCGGCAAAAAUAAGGUUAGGAAUGUGCUUCCCUGUACAAAAAAAAAAUCCAACAAACGUUCCUGGUUUCCAGUUUUAUUUUCCUUCUCAUUCUUGUUUUCACUGGAUUCUCACAAAGAGCCAGCUGAAAUAGCAUGGACAGAACCUUAGUUUUAGGAAAUUUCAUAUGGUUUCUGAUUUUAUUACUAUUUGAUAUGUGAGGGUGAGUGAACUCCUUAAUCUUGGAGGAUAGUUUUUUCACAGUGUAAGGACAUUAAGCUCAGUGACGUUCCCACCCAGUGCUAGACUUAAAUUUCUACGUAGUUGACUUUUUAUGAUGCUGUUGUUAGGGAAUAUGACCAACACUUGUGAAGCUACUGAUUUUAUUUUUCAAACAUUCUCCGCUUGCCUUUUUACCCCUUACACCUUUCAAGUACUGUAAAGAAACUAAGGAGGAAUCACCAGAAGCCGGAGCUUCAGUACACUUCACAUAGAAUGACUCUCAGGUGUUCCUUCUGAUUUCCAGAAGCAGCAGCAGCAGGGCGGGGCUUCACUGCUCUGGGCCGCGAGCCUGCACUGCGCCUGCGCGAAUUUCCUCCCACGGAAGUUUCUUUGGGCACUUCAGGGCAGGCAGUGUUAGUAUGCCGGGGAGCUGGCCCAAGGAGCAGCGCUGGCCACAUGAUCUGGGGGCCUGCUGGAAAGAACAGUCUUGAGACCGCUUCCCUAUGAUGGAGUCACCAAGGAAACACUCAAGGCUACUAUGAGAACAUCUGGGAGCAAUAGAAGUUAAUGACAAGGACAUGGACCUCAGAAUAAAGUGAUUCCAGUCUGUAAGUUACAUCAGCCCACACAGUACCCAGUUCCCUAGUCAGAGCACACAGCUCCCUGACUGCGCUGGGGUCUCAUCAGUGGAGUCUCGUGAACGAGGGACGUGUCCAGCGAAAGCAGCAAGGCAUGGUGAUGUGUAAAACAUCGACGAAGGUAGCAAGGCGUUAAGUGAUGUGAAAAUUAUACCUGCCUCUUCAUAGACAAUUUAUUCUUCAUCCAACUGAACCAUCGUUAUCUUUGAAGUCACAAUUUUUCUCUAAAUGUGUUUGUUUUACAUAAAAAUCAGACCUUGUGUCAAAUUCCUUCCAGACAGAAAGACAGGAGGAGAAGUUAUCACUGUCUUCAGUUUGCGGGUUGGAAUAGCUCAGCCGGCAGUGGCUUGCGCUCUAGCACACGGCCAGCCUCUGCCGCAACCAGGGGAGAAUCCGUUUCCAAACAGAUGAAACAGAAGAACCUUAGCAUACCUUGUCCCAUGAUCUCAUCGUUGUGGUGGGAGUGUGGUGUAGGCAGUGUUCUCUUAAGUUAUAAGCACUAGGAAGGAUGCUUUAGCCUUCCCGGCCAGCAAACAGGCCAUCAAGUUUUGUCCUGGUUAAGGUAGGAGGAGUGUGCUGCUGAGCAGCUGCGGGUCAGUAUCACACACGUAUUUGCUUCAUUUGUGUAGUUAAGACUUUGCAGGCGUGUCUACCUGCAGACAGCUACCUGGAAGCUGCCCAGCUCAGGGCUCCAGGGAGGGCUCUGGAGUUGGACUGCCUGCACUGAAGUCCCAUUUUCCUGCUUACUUCCUAUAACCUUGGGCAAACUACAUCAUCUCCCUGUGUCACUGUUUCCCUCUCUGGAAAGCAGGCCUAUACUCAGGCCUCAACUUCUUGGUGGAAGGUUAUUAGGUGAACACUUCCAAGCUCAGACCAGUGGGUGACAUGCCUCAAGCUGUGGCAGGUUGUCUGUUCCACAGGGUCCCAGGCCGUACCCUGGCCCCAAGCUAUUCCCUUGUCAUAGGAUGAUUCAAGUGUUGUAAAUGGAAAGUCCUCGAGCUGCUGCCUCCAGGAGGAAGACAAAAGCCUACUUAUUGACCCUGGCUUCAGCCCUGGUUCUGCUGCCUGCUUCCCUUUUUCUGAAAACAAUGACAACCAGCCAGGUGUGGUGGUAUGCACCGUGAAUGCCAACAUUUCAGAUGCUGAAGCAGGAUGAACACCGUGAGUUCAAGUCCAGCCUGGGCAGUGUAGUGAGUUCAAGACCAUCUAAAAAGCCAGUAAUAAUAAUAGUAAUAAGGACAACAAAAGCAGAAUUUAUCAUAAUUGCUUUUCAGUGUCAAACAACUUUCUACAUGCUGCUCAACUCCAGCCAGGAAUUUAGAUCUGCAGUGUAAUUGCCUGCCUGCCAAGUGUGAGGCCCUGAGUUCAAUCCCCAGUACCAAACAAAGCUUCUAUACCUCAUAAGAUUGCCUGCUCAAGUAACUGUACUGAUUUCACUUUAAGUAAGAGUACACACUAUUUUUGUGAAUUAAACAGGAAAAAUAAGAUAAAUGCUUGAAGAGCAAAUAUCGUACUUAUGGUACCUAUGACCAUAAACAAAUCUUUUCAUUGUUUUGUUUUUGCAACAGGGUCUCAAUCUGUCAUUCAGGCUGGUAACUCACUAUGUAGCUCUACCUGGCCUCAACGUCUUGUCAGUCCUCCUGCCUCAGCCUCCCAAGUGCUAGGAUUCAGGCAUGUACCACCAGGCACGGCCAUCAAAUCAUUCUCUGAGAGGAGGAAUUCAUGAUACUGGACGAAGGAAGCAGUUGAGGAAAAACCAAUCUUACCUUAAAUUACAGAAUGUAGUCUGACUAGUUUCCAAUAUAGACAGGGGAAAAUAGGCAUCAAAAUCAAAUUCAGAAUCUGGCAAUCAAGAAUAAAUGUGGUAAGAACAAAAGCGAUAAGUGGAGAUUAGACCAAAAGCAGUUAUUGGCAACUAAAUGCAGUUAACGUUGUUUUCCUGAGUCCUAUUCUAAGAAGUUGGUGUGGAAGCGCCCCUUAAAUAUAACUUCCGAGGCUAGGAGAGACAGUUCUAGACAAGCUCCCUUAAAAUGGGAGUGUGAAUCACUAAUAGAUUUCAGUCUUCUUUCUUCACUUCCCUAUUCCUAGACCAGUGGGGAACUAGUCCCAGUGAAGAGUAUUAAAGGAAUGGGUUCCUUUUUACACCAGUAGGCUGUUCAUGCAGUAACUUGAUGGCACUUCAUGGAGGUAAAUUGACGUGUCUGGUGAUAUACUCCAAGAUAUUCCAAGAGUAAAUAAAGGAAGGUUGUAAAAUCAAUAAAACAAUAUUUGACGAUACUGUUUUAAUUUAAUACUCACACUGUAUGAUGUUUCCAUUUUUUGUGUGUGGAACUGAGGAUUUAAUCCUGAUCCUUUGCACUGAGCUACAUCUCCAGCCACCUAUUAGUUCUUUGAGUUUUGAGACAUGGUCUUCUAAUUGCUAAGUUACCCAGCUUGAGCUCUGUUAUGUCUUUUGCUACAUGUUCCUCCAAAUCCUCACGUGAUCCUAGGUGGGGAGAUUUGAAGGUGGCUGUAUUAGGGUGUGUGAUACUGGGACUAAGAAUGCCCCAUCCUGUGCGUGGAUGGCACCACCCAAAAGGCUGGUAGCCUGGAAGGAUAAAAGGGAUCUUUCUGCUGCUGGUAAUGCUGGUGCUGGUGGCUUGCUUUCUUCUACCUGCUCUGCCACGCCAUGGACCCUUCCUCAACUUCAGAGCCCCUCUGCCAUGUCAUCCUGUCUCAGAGCCUGCCGACUAUGGACUGAAACCUUCCCAAACUGUGAGCUAAAUAAAUCCUUGCACCUUUAACUUGUAGAUGUUGGGUAUUUUCUCAGCAAUGAGAAAAUUAACUUAAGCUAUAACUUGAAAACCUCCUGUCUCAGCCUUUCAGAAUGCUAGGAGUAUAGACAGACAUUGUCAUGCCUAGCUAAUAAGUUUUAAAUUUUUUUCAUAAUUCAUUAAAAUUGAAAAAAAUUUUGGAAAAACGUAUAAUAUCAGAAUUCUCUGACAACACAUGGUUUACAUCUUGUCUUCACCUGACAGUAAACAUCCUGAUUUAUGUAUAUUAAUCAUUGCUUUUUCUCUGCUUCACCUGUAGACAAUACUAAAUUAGGUGCAUUUAUGUAAUAAAGAAAAAUCCAGCUGGGCAUCAUGAAACAUGCCUGUAAUCCCAGCACUAGGAUAGCUGGGACAGGAAGAUGGCCAUGAAUUUAAGGCCAGUUUGGGCUACACAGUGAGUUCAAACCUGCCUGAACUGCACUGACAGACCUUGUCAUAAAAAUUUUCAAACUUCAAUGAAAACACAGAAACUCGCUUUCAUACAUAUAAAACCGUAUCUGAUUAUUUUCUAACAUGUGCAUAGUUUACCACUUUUGCUUUAGUAGCAUGUUUGCAGUACAUGCAGUUUCUAAUCAUCUUGGAGAUUGUGUACAUGCACGUAAUAUAGUUUUUUCCUUCUUAAUCCCCUUUUUCUUUCCUCGCCCCUCCUCUGAUUGCCUAUCCUGUUUGUCAUCCUUGCUGAAUUGCUAAUCUGAGCUCACCUUGUUGCAUCCUGCACAUGGCAUUUUUUUAUUCUACUCACUGUGGUCUUUGUCCUUUGAUUCUGUCAUCUGAAAGGGGAAGCAUGACAGCCUGAUGUGCUGAUUUUAAGCAUUACAUGCCUACAGAAAGGAUUAUAUGCAGUGCCUGAUUCAGGAGAAUCACUCAAUAGUUACAUAAAUAUUUUAGGAAAAUUGUUAUCUUUUACAUCUCACAUAACAUGAUGAAGAUUCAUUAUUCAUUUUUAGAGAAAUUAGUUUUGCAGAUCAUUCGAUUGUGCAUCUAACCUUACAGUCAUUGCAUUUACAGUGCUUUUAUUUGUUAUCUAGUGGCAUCAGGCAUCACUUGUCUACUUCUGCCAAACAUGAAUGAAGAAUGUCACUCCUGUUGGGGACACAGCUCAGUCGUACAGCGCCUGCCUGACAAGCGCAAGGCUGUGAGUUCAAUUCCCUGUAAAAUAGAGAGAGAGAGAGAGACAGAGACAGAGAGACAGAGACAGACCGAGACACAGAGAGAGAGACACAGAGACAAAGACAAAGACAGAGAAAUGUCACUUCUAAAGGUCUGGGUAGCCUUGAGCCUGGGAACCAGCGGAUCCUACCAUGAAGUUAUUGCCUGUAGGCCCAGAAGGAACCUGCCAGCCAUUCUGUGACCCUGCCCUUGCGAUCACUAAGUUCAUGCAGAUUCUGGAGAUCCCAGGGACACCUGACUCAGAGGAAGUCUGAAAGUUGCUACAUUGCAGGGCUGCCUGGGGCCCUAACGUCAUCAUGCCUCUGCUGUGAAUAGAGAAACACAAAUUAGCCAAGAGAGGCUUCCUCACAGUUGUGAUGGACAUUUCUAAAAUAAUUUGGAAGACUUGGGAGGCCCUUUGGGCCCUCUAGAAUAUCACCGUGGCGGAGAGUUCUCUGAGGCUUCCUCGUAGCCUUUCCAAAGAAACCACCUGCCUCUGCCUCUCCAAGUUUCCUCCCCACCCAUUCUCCUUCAGUUCCACUUUUCCUUACUGUUGGUUUCAGGUUAUUUCCUCACAGGAUCAUUUAGCCUACAUGAAGGACAAUGUGCAAGGUAUCAAACAUGUGUCCCAUUGUGAUCCAGCUUUGUGGCCAAGGAUUACUGUGUCUCAGAAUAUCUGAUGAGUACCAGGCAGGGCCGUGUACACCUGUAAUCCCAGUACUCAGGAGGCUGAGGCAGGAAGAUUGCCAUGAGAUCAAGACCAACCUGCACUACAUGGUGAGAACUCUUCUCAAGAAAACCCCACUUUUUUAUGUGGUCCUCCCCAUUUUUGCCCUAAAAACUUUCCUUGGCUUCAACCUCCUCAGCUGCACUCAUAAUGUGUCAUGGCAUGCACAUUCCUGUUGCAGUACUAUUCUAUUCCCCAAUAAAUACCAUUAUUCCUUUUUA